UCUAAGAGCAAAGACAGUCCCAUUACCUCAAGGUAGAAAUAACUCCAUGGUGUAAUUUGUGCCCAGAAUUUUUGUGGAAUUAUUCAGAAGCUAGUCUUCAUCUGAGACCAAAUUAUCACUUAAUUAUUUUACCCUGAUCUGUCUACUUUUCUCCUAUCUUUCCCCUGUAAGCACACCCUAACACAUAUCUCGUAUCUUUUCCCCUGUAAGCACACCCUAACACAAUUCUUUUUCAUGAAUACUCAUUGUAGCCUCUGUUUCAGGAAAGCAACUGAAGACAGACUGUUCUAAGAACUAAGAGAAUGAAUCUGGCUGACGUGUGGAGAGAAGAGAUGGACCAAGGGACAUGGAUGAAUCUGGAGAACGUCAUCCUCAGCAAACUGACACAAGAACAGAAAAUGAAACACCGCAUAUUCUCACUCAUAGGCGGGUGAUGAAAAAUGAGAACACAUGGACACAGAAAGGGG
RNAcentral lists this long non-coding RNA (467 nucleotides) under Callithrix jacchus (white-tufted-ear marmoset). RNAcentral's name for it is "lncRNA (ENSCJAG00000057056.2)". Lineage: Eukaryota; Metazoa; Chordata; Mammalia; Primates; Cebidae. The record is from RNAcentral.